UACGUAGGGUGCAAGCGUUGCCCGGAUUUAUUGGGCGUAAAGGGCGCGUAGGCGGCUACGCACGUCCGUUGUGAAAUCGCUCGGCUCAACUGGGCGGGGUCGGCGGAUACGGCGUGGCUGGAGCAAGCUAGGGGGCAAUGGAAUUCCCGGUGUAGUGGUGGAAUGCGUAGAUAUCGGGAGGAACACCAGCGGCGAAGGCGGUUGCCUGGAGCUUUGCUGACGCUGAGGCGCGAAAGCGUGGGGAGCGAUCCGG
RNAcentral lists this ribosomal RNA (253 nucleotides) under uncultured bacterium. RNAcentral describes it as "partial 16S ribosomal RNA". It matches the Rfam family "Bacterial small subunit ribosomal RNA", at positions 524 to 776 of the family's 1533-position model. The record is from RNAcentral.